Molecule: ribosomal RNA, 253 nt
Filed under: uncultured bacterium
Lineage: Bacteria
Description: partial 16S ribosomal RNA
Rfam family: Bacterial small subunit ribosomal RNA
Source: RNAcentral
UACGUAGGUGGCGAGCGUUGUCCGGAUUUACUGGGCGUAAAGCGCGCGCAGGCGGACUGAUCAGUCUGGGGUGAAAUCUCACGGCUCAACUGUGAGCGGUCCCUGGAUACUGUCAGUCUUGAGAUGUCUAGAGGAGAGCGGAAUUCCCGGUGUAGUGGUGGAAUGCGUAGAUAUCGGGAAGAACACCAGUGGCGAAAGCGGCUCUCUGGGGACCAUCUGACGCUGAGGCGCGAAAGCGUGGGGAUCAAACAGG